AUUCACUUAAACUUUCAAUGCUUGCAAACGUGUAUUCUAAGUACACUGAAAGCUUACUUCUUGUGUUGUAGGUCUUCGAAUUUCAAUUGACUUCUGAGGACAUGAAAGUGAUAGAUGGCCUGAACAGAAACUUGAGAUAUCUUCCUGCUGAGUUCAUUGAAGGCCACCCUAAUUAUCCAUUUGCUGAUGAAUAUUAACAUGGGACCUUUGUCAUGAGUACUGGCAGAAAUUCCUUUUCAUGAAAUAUGAUACAGAAUACAUCUGAGGUGUUGCUGCUCUGACUCAUCCUGGUCAAACCAUGCUGAUUAGCAACUCUCCUAGAUUAGAUUAAAAAGGGACUAAACUAGCAUCAGAUUUUUGAAAACAAUAUAAAAUCAUUUUUUCUAAAGGUUCUUGCUUUGUGCUGUUUCUGUUAUUUGCAUG
This 423-nucleotide long non-coding RNA is filed under the name Cavia porcellus (domestic guinea pig). Its description in RNAcentral is "lncRNA (ENSCPOG00000032810.1)". The record is from RNAcentral. Lineage: Eukaryota; Metazoa; Chordata; Mammalia; Rodentia; Caviidae.